RNAcentral lists this ribosomal RNA (230 nucleotides) under Pseudomonas sp. B50B. Its description in RNAcentral is "partial 16S ribosomal RNA". It matches the Rfam family "Bacterial small subunit ribosomal RNA", at positions 839 to 1066 of the family's 1533-position model. Lineage: Bacteria; Pseudomonadati; Pseudomonadota; Gammaproteobacteria; Pseudomonadales; Pseudomonadaceae. The record is from RNAcentral.
CUUAGUGGCGCAGCUAACGCGAUAAGUCGACCGCCUGGGGAGUACGGCCGCAAGGUUAAAACUCAAAUGAAUUGACGGGGGGCCCGCACAAGCGGUGGAGCAUGUGGUUUAAUUCGAAGCAAACGCGAAGAACCUUACCUGGCCUUGACAUGUCCGGAACCUUGCAGAGAUGCGAGGGUGCCUUCGGGAAUCGGAACACAGGUGCUGCAUGGCUGUCGUCAGCUCGUGUC